RNAcentral lists this small RNA (476 nucleotides) under Pithoascus ater. Its description in RNAcentral is "eukaryotic LSU rRNA". The stretch from base 92 to 245 matches the Rfam family "5.8S ribosomal RNA". The record is from RNAcentral. Lineage: Eukaryota; Fungi; Ascomycota; Sordariomycetes; Microascales; Microascaceae.
GCGCCCCGCCCCCGGCCCCCGCCGGCCGCGCCAAACUCUUCAUUUGCAAAGCGGACUGCAUGCUCUGAUUUAGAUUUUUAAAACAAGUCAAAACUUUUAACAACGGAUCUCUUGGUUCUGGCAUCGAUGAAGAACGCAGCGAAAUGCGAUAAGUAAUGUGAAUUGCAGAAUUCAGUGAAUCAUCGAAUCUUUGAACGCACAUUGCGCCCGGCAGCAAUCUGCCGGGCAUGCCUGUCCGAGCGUCAUUUCUCCCCUCGAGCGCGGUUGCCCCUAGGGGCGGCUGCUGCUCGGUGUUGGGGCUCUGCGGGCCUCGCCCGCAGUCCCCGAAAUGAAGUGGCGGUCCCGCCGCGGCGCCCCCUGCGUAGUAAUAACUGCCUCGCAUCGGGUCCCGGCGACGACCAGCCGUCGAACCUUUCUUUUGAUGGUUUGACCUCGGAUCAGGUAGGGUUACCCGCUGAACUUAAGCAUAUCAAUAA